RNAcentral lists this ribosomal RNA (770 nucleotides) under uncultured bacterium. RNAcentral's name for it is "bacterial SSU rRNA". It matches the Rfam family "Bacterial small subunit ribosomal RNA", at positions 61 to 823 of the family's 1533-position model. The record is from RNAcentral.
GUCGAGGGGCAGCGGGGUAGUGCUUGCACUACUGCCGGCGACCGGCGCACGGGUGAGUAACACGUAUGGAACCUGCCCGCAGCAGGGGGAUAAGCGGAAGAAAUUCCGUCUAAUACCGCGUAACAACGUUGGGAGGCAUCUCCCGAUGUUUAAAGAUUUAUCGGCUGCGGAUGGCCAUGCGGCGCAUUAGCUAGUCGGCGGGGUAACGGCCCACCGAGGCGACGAUGCGUAGGGGUUCUGAGAGGAAGGUCCCCCACACUGGUACUGAGACACGGACCAGACUCCUACGGGAGGCAGCAGUGAGGAAUAUUGGUCAAUGGCCGAGAGGCUGAACCAGCCAAGUCGCGUGAGGGAAGACGGCCCUACGGGUUGUAAACCUCUUUUGUCGGGGAGCAAAGCGAACCACGUGUGGUUCAUUGAGAGUACCCGAAGAAAAAGCAUCGGCUAACUCCGUGCCAGCAGCCGCGGUAAUACGGAGGAUGCGAGCGUUAUCCGGAUUUAUUGGGUUUAAAGGGUGCGCAGGCGGAGGUGCAAGUCAGCGGUCAAAUUGCGGGGCUCAACCCCGUACUGCCGUUGAAACUGCAUCCCUUGAGUGCGCGAGAAGUAUGCGGAAUGCGUGGUGUAGCGGUGAAAUGCAUAGAUAUCACGCAGAACUCCGAUUGCGAAGGCAGCAUACCGGCGCGCAACUGACGCUCAUGCACGAAAGCGUGGGUAUCGAACAGGAUUAGAUACCCUGGUAGUCCACGCAGUAAACGAUGAACACUAACUGU